UCCUGCAGCCUUAGAGGGCAUAAUGGGGCGCCCCUGAGCCUGGCAGCGCGUUUCAGCCCCCAGUGACUCCCCCAUCCCCACCCCACCGAGUGCCCUUGCAGGGGCAGAUUGCACCCCCAUAGCAGAGAUCUUCAGGACUUAAGAACAACGUGAUGAUUUUAAAAGGCUGCAUUGAAAAAACAAAGGGCCGGAGGCGGGGGGCGGCUGGGGGGGCUACAUAUUGGGUCCAUUCAGAAGCAUGCGGCCCUCUGGUUUUAUAAAUCAGGAACCGUCAGCCCACCGCGUUGGGGCAGGGGGCUUCUUCUCUCCGACUCUUGGACAAAGUCAUCUGGUUCCAAAAUGCACGCUGGUCUAUGGAGGGCACAGAUGGCGGGUGAAAAGGCUGAGAAGCCAGAUACUAAGGAGAAAAAACCUGAAGCCAAGAAGGCUGAUGCUGGCAACAAGGCUAAAAAGGUGAAAAUGGUGAAGAAAGUUAAGAAGGGGAAGCCCCACUGCAGCCGAAAUCCUGUCCUGGUCAGAGGAAUUGGCAGAUAUUCCCGAUCAGCCAUGUACUCCAGAAAGGCCCUGUAGAAAAGAAAGUAUUCAGCAUCUAAAUCCAAGGUCGAAAAGAAAAAGAAGGUUCGGGUUCUUGCUACUGUCACAAAACCAGUUGGUGGCAAUAAGAAUGGUGGUACCCGAGUGGUCAAACUUCGCAAAAUGCCUGGGUAUUACCCUACUGAAGUUGUGCCUCGGAAACUGUUGAGUCACGGCAAGAAACCCUUCAGUAAGCACGUGAGGAAGCUGUGCACCAGCAUCACUCCUGGGACCGUUCUGAUCAUCCUCACGGGGCGCCACAGAGGCAAGAGGGUGGUUUUCCUGAAGCAGCUGGGCAGUGGCUUGCUACUUGUGACAGGGCCUCCAUCCCUCAGUCGAGUUCGUCUGCAUAGAACACACCAGAAAUUUGUCAUUGCCACCUCUACCAAAAUCGAUAUCAGUGGUGUGACAAUCCCAGAACAUCUCACUGACACUUACUUCAAGAAGAAGAAGCUGCGUAAGCCCAGACACCAGGAGAGUGAGAUCUUCGACACAGAGAGAGAAAUACGAGAUCAAAGAGCAGCGCAAGGCUGAUCAGAAAGCUGUGGACUCACAAAAUCUGCGAAGAAUCAAAGCUGUCUCUCAGCUCCAGGGCUACCCCCGCUCUGUGUUUGCUCUAACAAAUGGAAUUUAUCCUCACAAAGUAGUAUUCUGAACUUCUUGAAAAGAACCUAAUUAAAUAACUUGUCCAU
RNA transcript from Cervus elaphus (red deer), 1265 nucleotides. It is a transcript of the gene named 60S ribosomal protein L6-like, with no coding region annotated. NCBI's taxonomy places the organism in Eukaryota, Metazoa, Chordata, Mammalia, Artiodactyla, Cervidae. The transcript has 2 exons. The record is from RefSeq and is a predicted model, not a curated record.